AAUAAAUAUAGUUUUGUACGGUCUAUAUUCAACGUUUAACCAUUCGUAUUAUUUGAAAAUUUCUUAUGAUUAGUAUUUUUAUUGUUAUUAGACGAUAAAACAUGAAUAAUACUUUACGUGUGACUAAUUUUUUCUAAUUCUUUUUAUAAAAUUUUUAAAUAAGACGGAUGAUCAGACAUUAGACACGGAUACCAAUAGGCUACGGCUGUA
This is a non-coding RNA of Oryza glumipatula, 210 nucleotides long. The record is from Rfam. Lineage: Eukaryota; Viridiplantae; Streptophyta; Magnoliopsida; Poales; Poaceae.